AAGGGCACCACAAGAACGCGUGGAGCAUGUGGCUUAAUUUGACUCAACGCGGGAAAUCUUACCGGGUCCGGACACACUGAGGAUUGACAGGCAAUAUUAUAAAAUUAAUUUUUUAUAUCUACCUCUCUCUCACGGGAGAGGCAAGAAUUGAUUUUUUUUUUAUAUGUUAAAUAUGCUAGUCCUUUCAUGAUUAUGUGAUAGGUGGUGCAUGGCCGUUCUUAGUUCGUGGAGUGAUCUGUCUGCUUAAUUGCGUUUCACUAUUGGGCUUAUAUAAUUACGUAUGCUAGCUUUACGCUUUGACCCCUUUUCUACGGAAUUGCGCGUGUCUUUGUCUCGUUCAGCUUCAUACAAUUAAGCCCUGAAAGCAACGAACGUGACCGCAACCUCUUGUUGCUCUCAAUUUUGACUCACGUUUUUACCAGAACUGUCAUGCUUUUGAUCAAUUUUUUUAUUUUCUCACGAAUUUAUUCUGAUUUUUCUUAAGUCAAGAGAGCUUUCUAAACUAGAGGGACCGCUGUUACUUUCUUAAACCAGAGGAAGGUUGCGGCAAUAACAGGUCUGUGAUGCCCUUAGAUGUUCCGGGCUGCACACGUGCUACAAUGAUUAUUGCAGUGAGCAUCUCAUUUUUUACAUACAUCGCAUGCGCGAGUCCAUUUAUUCAUCACUUCGGUGUUGCUUUAAAUGUGCACCUCUGCGCGCGAUAAAGCCUACUUCGAAAGUAAGCGGGUAAUCAAUUAGAAGUAAUGAUUUCCUUUUUUUUCUGCACGCAUAUAUAUGGCACUUAUACCCGGGUAGCCUUGUUGCUACUUCUGUGCGUAUCAGUGAUACUUUGUGUUUUACUACACAUUGUAUAUUACCAUAUGUGCAAUUGUCAAUUCAUGGUGGGGACAGACCAUUGUUAAUUGUUGGUCUCGGUCUUAACUAGGAAUGCCUUGUACGGAUCUUUGGUUCAACAAACCAUCCGGAAUACGUCCCUGCCCUUUGUACACACCGCCCGUCGCUCUUACCGAUGGACUUCUCUGUGAGUUUGAGGGACUGGUAUAUGAUUCGUGCAGUGCUUGCGCUCACAAUCGACACUAUAGAAACUUAAACGAACAGUGGGGUCUAAAGGAAAGAG
This 1117-nucleotide ribosomal RNA is filed under the name Cassidulina reniforme. RNAcentral's name for it is "SSU rRNA". It matches the Rfam family "Eukaryotic small subunit ribosomal RNA", at positions 1160 to 1785 of the family's 1831-position model. The record is from RNAcentral. Lineage: Eukaryota; Foraminifera; Rotaliida; Cassidulinidae.